CUGAUGGAUGUAGAAGCCAGCCAUUCACGUCACGGAAAAUUUACAGCGCAACCUUGAGUGAUAACUGACAGACCAAUGGCAGUCAGCAGCGUCAUCGGCUAGACGGUCGGAGUCUGGAGCCUAUCCCGGGGAACUCGGGGGAACAAGGCAGGGGACACCCUGGACAAUUUGGAAAUGCCACUGGGCCUAUUAUGCCAUGUCUUUUGACUGGGGGAGGAAACCGGUGUACCCGGAGGAAACCCCCGAAACACAGAGAGAACAUGCAAGCUCUACGCACACAGGGCGGAGGCAGGAUUUGAACCCCCGACCCCGGAGGUGUGAGGCAAGCGUGCAGUUUUUCUCGUGGGAACCAUGCAGAUGUCCCAACAAGGUCAAAACUAUCAAAUAUUCCUAUCCUUGUGGGGACAUAUAAAACAUGCUUACAUACACACAAACGCAGACUGUCAUGACUAUUAAAAAACACAAAGGAAUAUAUUGUUUGUUUUUAAAAUCUUUUAUCUAAAAGGAAUCACAAAGUGUAGAUUUGAUUUUUAACUUACAAAACACAAUGUUAUACAUGAUGUUCUGUAUGGAUGUAGGUAUGUAUGCAGGAGUAGGAGGGUUUGUGCACUGUAUACAUACAUAGUCUAUUAUAUAUAUAUAUAUAUAUAUAUAUAUAUAUAUAUAUAUAUAUAUAUAUAUAUAUAUAUAUAUAUAUAUAUAUAUACAUAUACACACACACACAUAUACAUAUAUAUGUAUAUAUAAACAUUUCUAAGUAAACAUUCAAGUGGAUUUCAAGAGAACAUGAUGAGUAGGAGUAUUGGUUUUUUUUUCCCAUGUCAAAGUACAAUAAAUGUAAGUGCACAAUUAAGAGACACAAAGCACAGCAGUGUACAAAGCUGUCAUAGUCUCUCCAUCUCACAGGGCUAAAAGAAGUGG
Ictalurus punctatus (channel catfish) is the source of this 921-nucleotide long non-coding RNA. RefSeq lists it as uncharacterized. The record is from RefSeq and is a predicted model, not a curated record. Lineage: Eukaryota; Metazoa; Chordata; Actinopteri; Siluriformes; Ictaluridae. The transcript is spliced from 2 exons.